UUUAACUUAAAAUGAGACAUGUUGCCUUAGCAAAUUGUUAUUAUUGUUAUUUGUAUUUUGUGGUUUUAGCUUUAGCUGCUGGUAUCCCUGUCCUGUAAACAGGGAACUUGAGCACAUAUCUGAGUGUAGAUCACGUGAAUGUGUUGGUUGUGUAACUCGUGAAAGACGUCUUUCUCCAGCUGUCCCGAGUGCUGCCAGAGCUGUGACUGACUGCUGGAAACUCAGCUUCAUCAGGCUCUCUGGCGUCUCUCAGCAGGAGCUCCAGGAAACAUUUACACCGCUUUCAAGAAGAAUUUAUUACGCAACUCGACGGUCGCUCCCACGGAGGAUGUCGUGCGGCUCGUUUUUCUGGGGCAUCGUCUGGCUGCUGGUGCUGCUGUUUCUCGGCUGGCCCUUGAGCAUUAUGCUGGGGGGUCUGUACGGCCUCGUCGCCCCUUUCACCGUCUGCCUGGGUCUGGACCGGCUGGCCGACCUGCUGAUGGAGGGGGCCAAUCUGGGCAGAAAGUGUGCCCAGAACAUGAGGCAUGGCAAAGCGCUGUGCUGAGACCAAUAGCCAAGAAGAGUGCUCAGCCGUAUUAAUAGUCAACAUGAACUGUUUUUGACAGUUUACUGUGCCUUUUAUUCUCUGUGACUAGACCACGAUGCUUUGUUAAAGCCUUAGUAUCACUUUCUUGCUUCUCUGUAUCUCUUUUUCUUAGGCUGCUUGAAUGUGAAAAUUGACAGUUUUCUGGUACUGAUGUCUGAGUUCACAAUGUUGAAACACAUAAGUAUACUUAUAUUACAAGAAGAGUUUGUUAAACACUCUUCUCUAGAGACUUCAUGAGACCACCUUUGAAACCUUUGUGCGGUCCAGGACGCAAGAUGCAGAUCUUCAAACCAGCCGCCGAGUCUCCAUACAGGCCACAAAACAGUCCAUUUCAGGUCAAGAAAGUGCAGAAGUAAAAGUUUGUAUCAGUACAUUAUUGUGCAUUAUUCUGUUUGAAUCAAUUUGUCAACAAUCUGUACGAUCAUGUCAAAUACUAGUAUUUAGAACUGCAACAUUCCCAUUAUUCUCACAGAUUAAUGAAUAAACUGAUUUUCAGCUCCA
Cyprinus carpio (common carp) is the source of this 1087-nucleotide long non-coding RNA. RefSeq lists it as uncharacterized. NCBI's taxonomy places the organism in Eukaryota, Metazoa, Chordata, Actinopteri, Cypriniformes, Cyprinidae. The record is from RefSeq and is a predicted model, not a curated record.